RNAcentral lists this ribosomal RNA (253 nucleotides) under uncultured bacterium. Its description in RNAcentral is "partial 16S ribosomal RNA". It matches the Rfam family "Bacterial small subunit ribosomal RNA", at positions 524 to 776 of the family's 1533-position model. The record is from RNAcentral.
UACAGAGGGUGCAAGCGUUGUUCGGAAUUACUGGGCGUAAAGCGCACGUAGGCGGGUUGUUAAGUCGGGGGUGAAAUCCUGGAGCUCAACUCCAGAACUGCCUUCGAUACUGGCGACCUUGAGUCCGGGAGAGGUGAGUGGAACUCCGAGUGUAGAGGUGAAAUUCGUAGAUAUUCGGAAGAACACCAGUGGCGAAGGCGGCUCACUGGCCCGGUACUGACGCUGAGGUGCGAAAGCGUGGGGAGCAAACAGG